This 422-nucleotide ribosomal RNA is filed under the name uncultured cyanobacterium. Its description in RNAcentral is "bacterial SSU rRNA". It matches the Rfam family "Bacterial small subunit ribosomal RNA", at positions 359 to 795 of the family's 1533-position model. Lineage: Bacteria; Bacillati; Cyanobacteriota. The record is from RNAcentral.
GAAUUUUCCGCAAUGGGCGAAAGCCUGACGGAGCAAUACCGCGUGAGGGAUGACUGCCUAUGGGUUGUAAACCUCUUUUUUCAGGGAGGAAUAAAUGACGUGUACCUGAAGAAUAAGCAUCGGCUAACUCCGUGCCAGCAGCCGCGGUAAGACGGAGGAUGCAAGUGUUAUCCGGAAUCACUGGGCGUAAAGCGUCUGUAGGUGGUUUAAUAAGUCAACUGUUAAAUCUUGAGGCUCAACCUCAAAAUCGCAGUCGAAACUAUUAGACUAGAGUAUAGUAGGGGUAAAGGGAAUUUCCAGUGGAGCGGUGAAAUGCGUAGAGAUUGGAAAGAACACCGAUGGCGAAGGCACUUUACUGGGCUAUUACUAACACUGAGAGACGAAAGCUAGGGUAGCAAAUGGGAUUAGAUACCCCAGUAGUC